UCCUCUCAGAACUUCUUCGCACGUCUCUCUCACGGGAAGAAAACCACAAAGAAGCUUCAACUUGCUUUCUCGUUCACAAACCAGUGCACCUUUUCUCAAAACAGAAAAAUCCUUGGCUUCUCCCACUGCCAGUCCUUGCUGUCCAUCGUCGGAAGUGAAUCUAGAUGGAGAAAGGGAAAGAGCACGCAUCUCCGUUAACACCUCCUACCACAGAUCCACCAACAAAUUCAUCAACCCAGGUGAUAGCAAGACCCUUUUAUCCACAAUUCUCAAUACCUCAUACCACAAGUCUAGCAACACAGGUAAUCUGUUAUAUUAUUUUUGAAUUAUUUAUUUAUUCUAUUAAUAUAUUUAUCUUAGGUCUUCAGUACAUUAUCAUUAUUCAUUUAUGUGUUAGCUGAUACCAAGACCAUGGUAUCCGGAUUUACCAGCACCUCCUACCACUGAUCCAUCAACCAAUAUAGCAUCGUAGGUAUUUUGAAUAUUAAUUUUGA
Juglans microcarpa x Juglans regia is the source of this 494-nucleotide long non-coding RNA. RefSeq lists it as uncharacterized. The transcript has 3 exons. Lineage: Eukaryota; Viridiplantae; Streptophyta; Magnoliopsida; Fagales; Juglandaceae. The record is from RefSeq and is a predicted model, not a curated record.